This 634-nucleotide long non-coding RNA is filed under the name Brassica napus (rape). RNAcentral's name for it is "long non-coding RNA (BNAP_LNC022245)". The record is from RNAcentral. Lineage: Eukaryota; Viridiplantae; Streptophyta; Magnoliopsida; Brassicales; Brassicaceae.
UCCGUUAUUGAUUAUGACAUUUAUUUGCCAUGUCAGUAUCGCAACCACGUCAAUUCGUGCUAAUCGACCCAAACAAAUCAUUUUCGUUCAGAAAAUAGUACCCAAGACGGAUUCGUAUCUAGUUCAUCAUAAACAUAGUUUCAGACUGGCCAGAAUAUUAUAUGAAGACUUGUACUAACGAGUAAAAAACAUUUUGAAUAGAUCUAACCACACAAUACAUAUAUGGCCAUAUAUAAAACUAUGUUUUGACGAGGCUAAUCUUUCUCAAAUUUGAUAAUUCAAUCGGUGGUUACACAUAAAAGUUAAUAGUUCGAAACUCAACAUGACUUUUUGAUUGAUGCACGUUACAUGAUAUGCAGCGAUAUAGAUCUGACUAGAUGUGGUGGAUAUAGAGUUCAUCUUUAUCCAUACAAAAACAAUAGCAUUUAUGAUGAAUGAGUAAUAUCUAUAUAUCUGAAAUAAAUUUAAGAUAUGAUAUAUGUGAAUCACAAAAUAACGAAAAUGAAAAAGAUAGUUUCAGGAUAAAAAGGUUUGCGGUUUGCUUACCGAGCCACUGCCAACUAACAAUAUCUGUUUAUAUACAUUCCCCUGUUCAUAUGCUCGUAUAUGCAUGCACAUCUCUUCAUAUAAAGCC